RNAcentral lists this ribosomal RNA (408 nucleotides) under uncultured bacterium. RNAcentral describes it as "bacterial SSU rRNA". It matches the Rfam family "Bacterial small subunit ribosomal RNA", at positions 17 to 429 of the family's 1533-position model. The record is from RNAcentral.
UCCUGGCUCAGAUUGAACGCUGGCGGCAUGCUUUACACAUGCAAGUCGAACGGCAGCACGGGUGCUUGCACCUGGUGGCGAGUGGCGGACGGGUGAGUAAUACAUCGGAACGUGUCCUAAAGUGGGGGAUAACGCAUCGAAAGAUGUGCUAAUACCGCAUAAUCUCUAAGGAGAAAAGUAGGGGAUCGAAAGACCUUAUGCUUUUGGAGCGGCCGAUGUCUGAUUAGCUAGUUGGUAGGGUAAUGGCUUACCAAGGCGACGAUCAGUAGUUGGUCUGAGAGGACGACCAGCCACACUGGGACUGAGACACGGCCCAGACUCCUACGGGAGGCAGCAGUGGGGAAUUUUGGACAAUGGGCGCAAGCCUGAUCCAGCAAUGCCGCGUGAGUGAAGAAGGCCUGGUGUAAG